This 46-nucleotide non-coding RNA is filed under the name Schistosoma margrebowiei. The record is from RNAcentral. Lineage: Eukaryota; Metazoa; Platyhelminthes; Trematoda; Strigeidida; Schistosomatidae.
GUACUGCUGAAGAGUCCCAUAUUAGGACGAAACGGCUAUCCAGUAC